RNAcentral lists this ribosomal RNA (396 nucleotides) under uncultured bacterium. RNAcentral describes it as "partial 16S ribosomal RNA". It matches the Rfam family "Bacterial small subunit ribosomal RNA", at positions 523 to 918 of the family's 1533-position model. The record is from RNAcentral.
AUACAGAGGGUGCGAGCGUUAAUCGGAUUUACUGGGCGUAAAGCGUGCGUAGGCGGCUUUUUAAGUCGGAUGUGAAAUCCCCGAGCUUAACUUGGGAAUUGCAUACGAUACUGGGGAGCUAGAGUAUGGGAGAGGAUGGUAGAAUUCCAGGUGUAGCGGUGAAAUGCGUAGAGAUCUGGAGGAAUACCGGUGGCGAAGGCAGCCAUCUGUCAUAAUAGUGACGCGUAGGUACGAAAGCGGGGGGAGCAAACAGGAUUAGAUUCCCUGGUAGUCCAUGCCGUAAACGAGGUCUACUAGGCGUUGGGAGGUUUGGCCUUUUAGUGGCGCAGCUAACGCAAUAAGUAGACCGCCUGGGGAGUACGGUCGCAAGACUAAAACUCAAAGGAAUUGACGGGG